Oryzias melastigma (Indian medaka) is the source of this 1319-nucleotide long non-coding RNA. RefSeq lists it as uncharacterized. NCBI's taxonomy places the organism in Eukaryota, Metazoa, Chordata, Actinopteri, Beloniformes, Adrianichthyidae. The transcript is spliced from 2 exons. The record is from RefSeq and is a predicted model, not a curated record.
CACAGUCACGACUGUCAAACCCAAACAGAGGAAAUGAGCAGAGCAUGGAACCUCCUGAUGAAACCUUUUUAGCAGCCGUCAACUAAUGACUCCGAGAGAAAAACGUGACAGUCUGAAGAGGAGACGCGUGUGGAGGGCUGCAGGGCGGGAGGGGCCGCAGAUGGCGGGAGCUGUCCACUCAGGACAGGGUGCUGAAUCAGAAGGGACGGCAGCAGACGCGCUGGCACCGUCACAGAGCUGCUGCUGCGUGUCCUCAACCUCCCUUCUUCUUUCUCUUCUCAAUCCACGUUUCGCUUUGCGGGAAGCGCACGUGGGUCAAAGACUGACUUGAGGUGGAAAAGUUAACUUUAAAUCUAAGCCAAAGAGCAGACAGCCUGUUGCUGGCUGCAGUGUUGGUGAGUUUCGGACAGCAGACAGACUCAUCUCAUCUGAAGCGUCUUUCCCUCUGUUUCCCUGGAAAGAGCUUUCCUUUUCUCUGAUCUGUGGAGGUGAACCCAACCCUCGCGCUCCGCUGCUGCUCGCUUUCUGACGCAUUUUUAAUUCACUGCAACUCUCUGCAAAAAGAAAGAAAGGAGAAAAACAGUCAAUCUAAAUGUAUUUACCCCAAAUCAAUGCGCAAGUGGCCAUCGAUAUCUGCUCAAAAGACAAAGUUUAUCAGCGUUUCUGUUUGAACUGGUUGGGAAGUAUUGGCUGCUUGAUUUCGUGGUGAAUUCCUGAGUUUCAGAGGGAUUUGUUGACUGAAAUGCCGCGCUCUGAGACAAUAACCUUCAGGAAGCUCAUCUCCAGAGGAGUUAACCAAACUAUCACCCCGCUGCACAACAAAGCUGCGGUUUCUGAGCGGGAGUGUCUUCUGUAUGGAUGAGACACACGUCAGCAUUUGCAUAUGAAGGCACCUCGGCGGAAAGACACACACGUGAUGAUCGCUGUAAUGGAGCUCAAUAGAGGCGAACCUGGACUUUUUCCCACUUCUGUGACAUGCGCCCCCGACGCUCUGGCGCCUGUGAGUCUGAGUAUCAGCUACCUGGCAUCCCUGCCUUGAAAAUAUCUACAUAACUCAUCCGUCCCUGAACUCACCACUAUCCAAAACCCCAUCAGCUCGACCCAGUUUACCAGCUUCCAACUCUUUCUGACUGAAGUGACUUUAAGUGUUAGCCCCCUGGGGCCCCAUACUUCAUUUUGUUCACUUUGAAUAGCCACAAACCAGAAAAAAGGGAAAGCUCAGUUUGAUUUUCUGUUGACCUGUUUGGAUCGGUCAUUUGAUGACGCAUUCUCUGUCUCCUCCAAUCAAUAAAUCUUGAUAUCUAUUGUCCAAACCUAAA